This 480-nucleotide ribosomal RNA is filed under the name uncultured bacterium. Its description in RNAcentral is "partial 16S ribosomal RNA". It matches the Rfam family "Bacterial small subunit ribosomal RNA", at positions 28 to 523 of the family's 1533-position model. The record is from RNAcentral.
GACGAACGCUGGCGGCGUGCUUAACACAUGCAAGUCGAGCGGAAAGGCCCUUUCGGGGGUACUCGAGCGGCGAACGGGUGAGUAACACGUGAGUAAUCUGCCCCUGGCUUUGGGAUAGCCACCGGAAACGGUGAUUAAUACCGGAUACGACCACUUCUCGCAUGGGAUGGUGGUGGAAAGUUUUUCGGCCAGGGAUGUGCUCGCGGCCUAUCAGCUUGAUGGUGAGGUAAUGGCUCACCAUGGCUUCGACGGGUAGGCGGCCUGAGAGGGUGACCGGUCACACUGGGACUGAGACACGGCCCAGACUCCUACGGGAGGCAGCAGUGGGGAAUAUUGGACAAUGGGCGGAAGCCUGAUCCAGCAACGCCGCGUGAGGGAUGACGGCCUUCGGGCUGAAAACCUCUUUCAGCAGGGACGAAGCGCAAGUGACGGUACCUGCAGAAGAAGCACCGGCCAACUACGUGCCAGCAGCCGCCGUAA